Long non-coding RNA from Trichechus manatus latirostris (Florida manatee), 796 nucleotides. RefSeq lists it as uncharacterized. The record is from RefSeq and is a predicted model, not a curated record. Lineage: Eukaryota; Metazoa; Chordata; Mammalia; Sirenia; Trichechidae. The transcript has 3 exons.
CUGCGAGACAGCAGCUGGGCGGAUCUUUGUUCUUUUGACACAAAGCCGAUGAACUUGCGCCCCUGCUUCGUGCAGGUGCUCCGGCUCUGCUGAAGGCGGGGGUUGGGGAAAAUCUAACACGUGAAGUUGCUGUUUCCCAGGGCUGAUCUGAAGUGCACAACACCCAAGAUUUUUGCUGUUAAAAUGGUGGAUUCCGUAUUCAUGCUGCUAAGUGGUCACCCUUCACAACUGAAUGUACACAGAACCCUAAUUUGCAACAUGGCUGAUUUCUCUCUGUUCACUGCAGGCCUCUGCCGGACAGGCUGCCAGUAUUGAUCAGCAUCCCACGUGUGUUCCUUAGGCUGGUACCAAGUUGGCCAUACCGUUCUCGAGGAUUCUGUGCAAACUCAGCAAUGUCCAGCAGAAGAUGGGGUGGCCUCUUUUUUGUGUUUCGUUUUCUUGGAAUCCCUGCAGUUUCCAGUCUCUGACAAGGGAAAUACUAUGUUACCAUGAUUGCCUUUGACUAAUGAGGAUAUUCCCUGGGGGAAGGAUAGUCACUGGAAUAAAACUGGAGCUCCACAAAGGGAAGAAGGGAGUGGAGAGAGUGACAGUUGGGUAAAUAACUGAGAGAAUCUGCUACAUAAACAAAAAGUUAAAAAUUACAAAAUACAGACAACUAUGUCUUCCAUGAGCUGAGUGUUUUCAAGAACUCACUACACAUAACUAUGGAUUCUUUCUUAGACUGGGAUGGUGUUAUGGAUUGAAUUGUGUCCCCCAAAAAUGUAUGUCAACUUGGCUAGGCCAUGAUUCCCAGUAU